GGGCCCGUAGCUCAGUGGACAGAGUACUUGGUUCCGGACCAAGAUGUCACGGGUUCAAAUCCCGUCGGGCUCU
RNAcentral lists this transfer RNA (73 nucleotides) under Halobacteriales archaeon QS_4_69_31. RNAcentral's name for it is "tRNA-Arg". It matches the Rfam family "tRNA". From Rfam's summary of the family: Transfer RNA (tRNA) molecules are approximately 80 nucleotides in length. The record is from RNAcentral. Lineage: Archaea; Methanobacteriati; Methanobacteriota; Halobacteria; Halobacteriales.